CCUACGGGUGGCAGCAGUGAGGAAUAUUGGUCAAUGGGCGUAAGCCUGAACCAGCCAAGUCGCGUGAGGGAUGAAGGUUCUAUGGAUCGUAAACCUCUUUUAUAAGGGAAUAAUGUGCGGGACGUGUCCCGUUUUGUAUGUACCUUGUGAAUAAGGCUCGGCCAACGCCGGGCCAGGCGCCGCGGUAAUACGGAGGAUCCGAGCGUUAUCCGGAUUUAUUGGGGUUAAAGGGUGGGUAGGCGGGCUUUUAAGUCAGCGGUGAAAGUCUGUGGCUCAACCAUAGAAUUGCCGUUGAAACUGGUAGUCUUGAGUGUGUUUGAGGCAGGCGGAAUGCGUGGUGUAGCGGUGAAAUGCUUAGAUAUCACGCAGAACCCCGAUUGCGAAGGCAGCCUGCCAGGCCAUGACUGACGCUGAUGCACGAAAGCGUGGGGAUCAAACAGGAUUAGAUACCCGAGUAGUC
RNAcentral lists this ribosomal RNA (460 nucleotides) under uncultured bacterium. RNAcentral describes it as "partial 16S ribosomal RNA". It matches the Rfam family "Bacterial small subunit ribosomal RNA", at positions 338 to 795 of the family's 1533-position model. The record is from RNAcentral.